RNAcentral lists this ribosomal RNA (924 nucleotides) under human gut metagenome. RNAcentral describes it as "bacterial SSU rRNA". It matches the Rfam family "Bacterial small subunit ribosomal RNA", at positions 394 to 1325 of the family's 1533-position model. The record is from RNAcentral.
ACGCCGCGUGCGGGAUGACGGCCUUCGGGUUGUAAACCGCUUUUGACUGGGAGCAAGCCCUUCGGGGUGAGUGUACCUUUCGAAUAAGCACCGGCUAACUACGUGCCAGCAGCCGCGGUAAUACGUAGGGUGCAAGCGUUAUCCGGAAUUAUUGGGCGUAAAGGGCUCGUAGGCGGUUCGUCGCGUCCGGUGUGAAAGUCCAUCGCUUAACGGUGGAUCCGCGCCGGGUACGGGCGGGCUUGAGUGCGGUAGGGGAGACUGGAAUUCCCGGUGUAACGGUGGAAUGUGUAGAUAUCGGGAAGAACACCAAUGGCGAAGGCAGGUCUCUGGGCCGUCACUGACGCUGAGGAGCGAAAGCGUGGGGAGCGAACAGGAUUAGAUACCCUGGUAGUCCACGCUGUAAACGGUGGAUGCUGGAUGUGGGGACCAUUCCACGGUCUCCGUGUCGGAGCCAACGCGUUAAGCAUCCCGCCUGGGGAGUACGGCCGCAAGGCUAAAACUCAAAGAAAUUGACGGGGGCCCGCACAAGCGGCGGAGCAUGCGGAUUAAUUCGAUGCAACGCGAAGAACCUUACCUGGGCUUGACAUGUUCCCGACAGCCGUAGAGAUACGGUCUCCCUUCGGGGCGGGUUCACAGGUGGUGCAUGGUCGUCGUCAGCUCGUGUCGUGAGAUGUUGGGUUAAGUCCCGCAACGAGCGCAACCCUCGCCCUGUGUUGCCAGCACGUCGUGGUGGGAACUCACGGGGGACCGCCGGGGUCAACUCGGAGGAAGGUGGGGAUGACGUCAGAUCAUCAUGCCCCUUACGUCCAGGGCUUCACGCAUGCUACAAUGGCCGGUACAACGGGAUGCGACACCGCGAGGUGGAGCGGAUCCCUUAAAACCGGUCUCAGUUCGGAUUGGAGUCUGCAACCCGACUCCAUGAAG